GAAAUUCUUUUUACUCUUAGAAUAUUGUUAAUAUUAGACUUCCUGUUAUAUUAUAUCUUUUGUACUUCUUACAUUUAUAUAGUGCCUAAUACUUUCCUGACUUCUUUCACAUAUACGGAUCUUUGUGAGAUGGUAGAUGCUUUAUUCUGAUAGAUCCAGUUUUCUCCUGUUGGCAAAACCAACAUUAGAUUGGUGAAAUGACAGGAUUAGAAGUGGAUGAGGAAAAUAAGGCACAGAGAGGUUAAGUAGGGUCAAAGAAACCCAAACUCACACUACAAAAUAAUGGCAUCACCACUGUCCACCUUGAUCAUCAAGGGCUUGUCCAGAUCAGAACUGGAUUUGUCUUGCUAUGUAUAUGUCUGUCAGGAAAUUUAUACCUAUUAAAUUUUCAUUUUCUCUAAGUAGUCAUGUUAUUGUACUGGUGUUUAGCUAUAACCUUCUUCAUAACAAAUAGUGUUGUGAGGAACAGUGUAGUGUGAAGUUUGUACAUUUGGGGGAUAGUUAUAAAAUGUGAACUCAUGGGAUGAGAAUGUUCAAUGAGGAAAUGACCUCAAGUAAGUGAAUUUGCAUGUUGAAACCCAUAGAGAAUAUGACACACCAAGCAGUGCCCCCAGCCAUAGAGCACUUUAGGUAUAUUAAAUGGUUAUAUGGUUAUGGUGCAAAAAUUCAUUUAGGAAAUAUGUAUUUGAGCACUUAAUAUGUCUAUUUUUGCCCUAAAGGAAAAAAAAAAACUUGUUUUAACUACAGUUACUUUCCUAGAGCAUGUUUUAGAGUAAUGUGUUUUGAUGCAUGUACAUUGUAUUUUAGGUAUGCAGAGAAACAAAUCGGAUUUAUUUACGUAAAAAUUAAAGUUAGUGGAUUUAUUACUCUUUAAAUCAUUAGUGUUUAAAGUAGUGCUAGCACAUUAGAAAACAGCCUCCUUUUGGACAAAAUGAAUUCACUGCUUUUGAUGCAGUUUCCCCCUUUAGAAUUAAAAAAAAAAAAGAUCCAACAUAUGUUGCAUGUGUUGCUGUUGUUUGACUGUCAGUUACUGGUGUCUUUGGUAUUGUGACCUCAUCUCUCAUGAAAGCAUAAUGCUGAAGUGGCCAGCUGUGGUGGCGCACGCCUGUAAUCCCAGCACUCGGGGCUGAGGCAGGUGGAUCGCUAGUUACACAGUGUCUGAGUGGUCAGAGUUUUAUCUUCUCCCCAUCUUCAACAUGAAGACAUCUAAGUCCCACCCCACUCCCAGCCAAAAGAUUUUUUUUUCUUUCUCUCUCUUUUUGUAAAAUUUCUAUCCUUGCAACUGAAUCCAGGGCUUUGCACAUGCCAGGCAAGUGCUCUCUCACUGAGCUACAUCUCCAC
Molecule: long non-coding RNA, 1341 nt
Filed under: Heterocephalus glaber (naked mole-rat)
Lineage: Eukaryota; Metazoa; Chordata; Mammalia; Rodentia; Bathyergidae
Description: lncRNA (ENSHGLG00100049918.1)
Source: RNAcentral